GUGUUGCUCAACAUCCUGGGAAGACGGUCUCCUGGCAUCUGGACGCUCACCCUGGAGACGGGUUGCAGCCCUCUGGGGCACGUGGGUCUGGUGAGCCCUGAGUCCAAGGAACUGUCAUCAUGAGACACAGAAGAGGAGAGAGACACACAGAGAAGGAGAUGAGAAGCAGGAGCCUGAGAAAGAAGAAGAUGGAGGCAGAGACCGGAGCUACACAGCCAUGCUGAAUCUAGAGCCUGUUACACAGAAUGAAAAUCACUCCAGGCUGACCCCACGCUAAUUACUGGGGUUCACAGUCCUAGGAAUUGCAAAGGAGGGAAACAGACAUCUGCACAGAGCCUUGGUGCCUGGAUUCACCCAAGAAUCUCCACAUCCACGGAAAAUACAUUGGAAUGUACAUCCUGCCAAGCAUCCAUUCAUCCCACGGUCACUGGAAACUUGGUGUUGCAGUGAGGAAGUGUGUCAAGGCUGGCUUCCCCGGAGACCUGCUUCCUGGUGGCAUCAAAAGAUGCAGAAGUUUUUGUCAGCUCACUCAACGAGAGUCUAUCUGUUCAUGCUGGCCUGGUUCAUUCAUACUCAACUUCCAAGACAUUGUUGCCUAAAGACCAAAACGACAAAUCAUCCAUUUUCAUUGAGAAAGAGAUCUCGAGAGGAGGUACUUAAAAGCUUCCAUUGGCAAUUUUUUUUUUUAAUACGGAAACAUAUCUGAGAAGCCAAAUCAAUAUCAGAACGCUGCCCUGUGGAUAGACAGAGCUGAGUAAAGUGAGACGUUGUUCAUGUCAUGACCGCUUGAUACACCCGAUUACACUAGAUGGAGUGUAGACCAGAAGGAAGGGGGUCCUCUCUCAGCAACACUGGAAGUCAGUCCAACAAAUGCCCAUGGUUCUGCACCUCUUUCUCAGUAUUCCUGGCCAGUCAUGAAAACUCCUGCAAUGGCAUUAUUUCCUCAUAAUGGAUAUGUUUCAGUGUUCCAAGAUUACCACUCACUUUUCACUUUGAAUUCUAAAUAAAGGCUUUCCUUUUGGGGAGGGACUCUGUAAGUACUUGGCUUAGUAUUUUUAAAAUGUUCUAGCUUGCUGUGGUGCGGUGUCACGUGUCUGUGGGUUAGCUGUGCCGUGUCCUUGUCUUGGAGUGCCCUCCCCGCCCUGCUGUACCCACACCCCCAACACCUCUGUCUGCUAAACUCUCAGUCAUCCUUUUCAUUCCAGGGACAAGUGUCAUCCCCUUCAGAAGCUCCCACACCCAGAGCAGGCUUAGAAGGUCUUUGCUCUGUGUUCCUAUGUUGGAGAAGGAAAUGGCAACCCACUCCAGUAUUCUUGCCUGGAGAAUCCCAUGGACAGAGGAGCCUGGCAGGCUACAGUCCAUGGGGUUUCAAGAGUUGGACAUGACUUAGCGACUAAACCACCACCUAUGUUGUUUGUUUAUCCUUUAUUCUAGCCUUUGUCAUAGGCUGCAAAGGCAGGCUUGUCUAGCCGUCUUCCCCACUAGAUUGCAAACUCUCAGGAAACAGGAACUUGGUCCAUCUCAUGGACCCGGACACAGUGCCUGGUACAGGGCAGGUAUUAGAUAGGUGCUGAUACUUGAUAAAAUCAGUGAGUGGCAUUAACAUUAGCCUACAGCUCUCCUAAUGAUGUCUCAAAAGCAUGCAAACCCCAUUUUAUUCUUCAGAUGACUUUUGACGCCUCUCGUUUAUAAAAGGCAAUGUUCAUAAAAACCUUAGGGUUGGCUUUCAAGGUGAUGAGAUGCGAACCUAGUCAGGUGAGCGAGCGUCACUAUCCUUGGGGGCACAUGGCUGCCAGAAAGAGGCGCUCUCUCCAUGCAUCUCUUCACUACCAAGCUGGUCAAGGAUGGAAACUGC
Molecule: long non-coding RNA, 1855 nt
Organism: Bos taurus (domestic cattle)
Lineage: Eukaryota; Metazoa; Chordata; Mammalia; Artiodactyla; Bovidae
Source: Ensembl